This 74-nucleotide transfer RNA is filed under the name Rhizobium sp. P32RR-XVIII. Its description in RNAcentral is "tRNA-Gly". It matches the Rfam family "tRNA". Rfam says of the family: Transfer RNA (tRNA) molecules are approximately 80 nucleotides in length. Their secondary structure includes four short double-helical elements and three loops (D, anti-codon, and T loops). The record is from RNAcentral. Lineage: Bacteria; Pseudomonadati; Pseudomonadota; Alphaproteobacteria; Hyphomicrobiales; Rhizobiaceae.
GCGGGUGUAGCUCAAUGGUAGAGCAGCAGCUUCCCAAGCUGAGAACGCGGGUUCGAUUCCCGUCUCCCGCUCCA